UACAGAGGUCUCAAGCGUUGUUCGGAUUCAUUGGGCGUAAAGGGUGCGCAGGCGGCCGUGUGUGUGAGGCGUGAAAGCCCGGGGCUCAACCCCGGAAUUGCACCUCAAACUACAUGGCUAGAGCAUUGGAGAGGGUAGCGGAAUUCACGGUGUAGCAGUGAAAUGCGUAGAUAUCGUGAGGAACACCAGAGGCGAAGGCGGCUACCUGGACAAUUGCUGACGCUCAGGCACGAAAGCGUGGGGAGCAAAAGGG
This 253-nucleotide ribosomal RNA is filed under the name uncultured bacterium. RNAcentral's name for it is "partial 16S ribosomal RNA". It matches the Rfam family "Bacterial small subunit ribosomal RNA", at positions 524 to 776 of the family's 1533-position model. The record is from RNAcentral.